RNAcentral lists this long non-coding RNA (1061 nucleotides) under Homo sapiens (human). RNAcentral describes it as "HSALNT0391226". Lineage: Eukaryota; Metazoa; Chordata; Mammalia; Primates; Hominidae. The record is from RNAcentral.
ACUUGUGACCUAUACAGAAAUACUGAAGACGUCCUCUGUGUCCUUUUAGACUUUCUGGGGGAGGGAACAGCCGCUGCCCAGAAGCAAGCAGCUUCCUUUUGGCCAGGUCAGUGCAGGGAACCAACAAAGACAGGGACCUGUGGCCAGAAGAAGCACAGCCGCAGCAGGUGUCUGAUUGGACUGAGCCAGGAAAGGCCUUCUUGCCCUUAGGGACCCCUCAAGGCUUUUUUCCCAAAAGCUGGAAACUGCUUGGCUCACUGCUGUGCUAAAUGCAGGUGCCAGCCGAGGGGGUUACCCUAGGACCGUGAGCCAUUAACAGCUUGUCUCAAAUACACUUCUCCAAGGCAGUCAGCAACUCCCCACUGAACACCUGUGGGUUCCUGCUGGUGCUAACUUAGGCACGGGGCUAGCAGGUCCCUCCCCUGUAGCAGAUGAUGAGAGCAAGUGUGGUGCAGGAGGAACUGAAAAGAGAGCGUCGUCAGAGAUGACACUUGCGUGGAUUAAAACCAUAUAUUCUUGUGCAAUGUAAAAAUGCCAACUUGCAUCAGCGUAACGAAGGACACACUUAGAAUAGAAAAGCUGAGGAGGACAGAAGAAUAGGAAGAACAACAAAACCAUGCCUGGUCCUUUUGCCCAGAAAUGACCCAUGUGAAUCUUGGCUGAACUUUUAGACUUUUUCGUGGUGCACAUUUUUCAACAUAAUUUGACAACGUGGGACCUCUAGAAUUGUACAUUCUAAUUUUUCAGUCCAUUUAUUUCUUAUUCCAGAAAGAAUCCAUGUAUAAGGAUGGCUCAUCACAGUGUUGUUUUUAAUUCUGAAAAGCUGAAAGAUGGAUGCUCACCACUAGUGUUUAUACAUAAGUUCAAUAAAGUUAUGCUCUCACAAUAAAAUAUUAUGUAGUCAUUAAAAAGAACAAUCUCAUGCUAUGCGUAUUAUCAUGGAAGGAUGUCCCCAAGAUCUUGCUGAAAUGUUUUAAAAAGUCCCAAGCAGUGUAUAUAUAAUUUGAAGCUAUUUAUAUAAAAAUAUGGGUGUAUAUGUGUGUAAAAAAGGAUGUUUGGGC